RNAcentral lists this ribosomal RNA (227 nucleotides) under uncultured bacterium. Its description in RNAcentral is "partial 16S ribosomal RNA". It matches the Rfam family "Bacterial small subunit ribosomal RNA", at positions 104 to 334 of the family's 1533-position model. The record is from RNAcentral.
CGGGGUGAGUAAUGUCUGGGAAACUGCCUGAUGGAGGGGGAUAACUACUGGAAACGGUAGCUAAUACCGCAUAAUGUCGCAAGACCAAAGAGGGGGACCUUCGGGCCUCUUGCCAUCGGAUGUGCCCAGAUGGGAUUAGCUGUGGUGGGGUAACGGCUCACCUAGGCGACGAUCCCUAGCUGGUCUGAGAGGAUGACCAGCCACACUGGAACUGAGACACGGUCCAG